This 301-nucleotide ribosomal RNA is filed under the name uncultured bacterium. RNAcentral describes it as "partial 16S ribosomal RNA". It matches the Rfam family "Bacterial small subunit ribosomal RNA", at positions 509 to 810 of the family's 1533-position model. The record is from RNAcentral.
CAGUCGCCGCGGGAAUACGUAGGUCCCGAGCGUUGUCCGGAUUUAUUGGGCGUAAAGCGAGUGCAGGCGGUUAGAUAAGUCUGAAGUUAAAAGCUGUGGCUUAACCAUAGUACGCUUUGGAAACUGUUUAACUUGAGUGCAAGAGGGGAGAGUGGAAUUCCGUGUGUAGCGGUGAAAUGCGUAGAUAUAUGGAGGAACGCCGGUGGCGAAAGCGGCUCUCUGGCUUGUAACUGACGCUGAGGCUCGAAAGCGUGGGGAGCAAACCGGAUUAGAUACCCCUGUAGUCCCUGUCUCUUAUAAA